ACGAACGCUGGCGGCGUGCUUAACCCCUGCAAGUCGAACGGAAAGGCCCCUUUGGGGGUCCUCGAGUGGCGAACGGGUGAGUAACACGUGAGUAACCUGCCCUUGACUUCGGGAUAACUUCAGGAAACUGGGGCUAAUACCGGAUAGGAAUCCUUGCUGCAUGGUGGGGGUUGGAAAGCUUCGGCGGUUUUGGAUGGACUCGCGGCUUAUCAGCUUGUUGGUGGGGUAGUGGCUUACCAAGGCUUUGACGGGUAGCCGGCCUGAGAGGGCGACCGGCCACAUUGGGACUGAGAUACGGCCCAGACUCCUACGGGAGGCAGCAGUGGGGAAUAUUGCACAAUGGGCGGAAGCCUGAUGCAGCAACGCCGCGUGCGGGAUGACGGCCUUCGGGUUGGAAACCGCUUUCAGCAGGGGCGAAGCUUGUGGUGACGGUACCUGCAGAAGAAGCACCGGCUAACUACGUG
RNAcentral lists this ribosomal RNA (464 nucleotides) under uncultured bacterium. RNAcentral's name for it is "partial 16S ribosomal RNA". It matches the Rfam family "Bacterial small subunit ribosomal RNA", at positions 29 to 507 of the family's 1533-position model. The record is from RNAcentral.